CCUACGGGGGGCUGCAGUAGGGAAUCUUGCGCAAUGGGCGAAAGCCUGACGCAGCAAUGCCGCGUGCGGGACGAAGGCCCUAGGGUCGUAAACCGCUUUCAGUAGGGACGAAAAUGACGGUACCUGCAGAAGAAGCUCCGGCCAACUACGUGCCAGCAGCCGCGGUGAUACGUAGGGAGCAAGCGUUGUCCGGAAUUACUGGGCGUAAAGGGCUCGUAGGUGGUUGAGUAAGUCAGAUGUGAAAUCUCAGGGCCCAACCCUGAGCCUGCAUUUGAUACUGCUCUGACUAGAGUCCGGUAGGGGAGUGCGGAACUCCUGGUGUAGCGGUGAAAUGCGCAGAUAUCAGGAAGAACACCGACAGCGAAGGCAGCACUCUGGGCCGGUACUGACACUGAGGAGCGAAAGCAUGGGUAGCAAACAGGAUUAGAUACCCCUGUAGUC
RNAcentral lists this ribosomal RNA (441 nucleotides) under uncultured Actinomycetes bacterium. Its description in RNAcentral is "bacterial SSU rRNA". It matches the Rfam family "Bacterial small subunit ribosomal RNA", at positions 338 to 795 of the family's 1533-position model. The record is from RNAcentral. Lineage: Bacteria; Bacillati; Actinomycetota; Actinomycetes.